AGAGUUUGAUCCUGGCUCAGGGUGAACGCUGGCGGCGUGUCUAAGGCAUGCAAGUCGAAUGCUAGCUUGCUAGCAUGGCAAACGGGAGAGUAACACAUUGGUAACCUACCUUGAGGUCGAGGAUAACCCGAAGAAAUUCGGAAUAAUACUCGAUAAAAGUGGGGGGACGAAAGUCAUUCCUACUUAAAGCUCCGGCGCCUCAAGAGGGGCCUAUGACUUAUCAGCUUGUUGGUGAGGUAAAAGCUCACCAAGGCUAUGACGGGUAGCGGGUGUGAGAGCAUGACCCGUCUCACUGGGACUGAGACACUGCCCAGACUCCUACGGGAGGCUGCAGUCAAGAAUCUUCCUCAAUGGCCGAAAGGCUGAAGGAGCGACGCCGCGUGCAUGAAGAAGCCCUUCGGGGUGUAAAGUGCUUUUAUGUGGGACGAAACAAUGACGGUACCACAAGAAUAAGGGGCUGCUAACCUCGUGCCAGCAGCGGCGGUAAUACGAGGGCCCCAAGCGUUAUCCGGAUUUAUUGGGUGUAAAGGGUCCGCAGGCGGCCUAACGCAUCUCCUGUUAAAUCUAUCGGCUCAACCGGUAGGCUGCGGGAGAGAUGGUUAGGCUAGAGGCCGGGAGAGGUACACGGAAUUGCUGGUGUAGGGGUUAAAUCCUUUAAUAUCAGCAGGAACACCAAAUGCGAAGGCAGCGUACUAGAACGGUUCUGACGCUCAGGGACGAAAGCGUGGGGAGCGAAGGGGAUUAGAUACCCCCGUAGUCCACGCCGUAAACGAUGAAUGCUAAACAUUGGAAGUAUCGACCCUUCCAGUGUUGUCUACCUAAGCUAACGCCUUAAGCAUUCCACCUGGGGAGUACGAGCGCAAGCUUAAAACUCAAAGGAAUAGACGGGGACCCGCACAAGCGGUGGAGCAUGUGGUUUAAUUCGACAAUAAGCGAGGAACCUCACCCAGACUUGACAUCUAGCUGCAGACCCUAGGAAACUAGGGAGCCUUCGAGGGUGCUAGACAGGUGCUGCAUGGUUGUCGUCAGCUCGUGUCGUGAGAUGUACCGUUAAGUCGGAAAACGAGCGCAACCCCUAUCUUAUGUUUUAUAUGUCAUAAGAAACUGCCCGCUUUAAGUGGGAGGAAGGUGGGGAUGACGUCAAAUCAGCAUGGUCCUUACGUCUGGGGCGACACACGUGCUACAAUGGGAAGUACAAUGGGAC
Molecule: ribosomal RNA, 1204 nt
Filed under: metagenome
Description: bacterial SSU rRNA
Rfam family: Bacterial small subunit ribosomal RNA
Source: RNAcentral